This 490-nucleotide ribosomal RNA is filed under the name uncultured bacterium. Its description in RNAcentral is "partial 16S ribosomal RNA". It matches the Rfam family "Bacterial small subunit ribosomal RNA", at positions 30 to 507 of the family's 1533-position model. The record is from RNAcentral.
AUUGAACGCUGGCGGCAGGCCUAACACAUGCAAGUCGAAUGGUAACAGGAAACAUCUUGCUGUUUCGCUGACGAGUGGCGGACGGGUGAGUAAUGUCUGGGAAACUGCCUGAUGGAGGGGGAUAACUACUGGAAACGGUAUCUAAUACCGCAUAACGUCGCAAGACCAAAGAGGGGGAACUUCGGGCCUCUUGCCAUCAGAUGUGCCCCGAUGGGAGUAGCUUGUAGGUGGGGUAACGGCUCACCUAGGCGACGAUCCCUAGCCGGUCCGAGAGGAUGACCAGCCACACUGGAACUGAGCCACGGUCCAGACUCCUACGGGAGGCAGCAGUGGGGAAUAUUGCACAAUGGGGGCAAGCCUGAUGCAGCCAUGCCGCGUGUAUGAAGAAGGCCUUCGGGUUGUAAAGUACUUUCAGCGGGGAGGAAGGGAGUAAAGUUAAUACCUUUGCUCAUUGACGUUACCCGCAGAAGAAGCACCGGCUAACUCCGUG